CAGAGCUAGGGAGUGGGAGAGGUAGACGGUACUCGGGAGGAAGUGGUAAAAUGCUUUGAUCUCUCGAUGACCACCUGUGGCGAAGGCGGUCUACCAGAACACGUCCGACGGUGAGGGAUGAAAGCUGGGGGAGCAAACCGGAUUAGAUACCCGGGUAGUCCCAGCUGUAAACUAUGCAAACUCAGUGAUGCAUUGGCUUGUGGCCAAUGCAGUGUUGCAGGGAAGCCGUUAAGUUUGCCGCCUGGGAAGUACGUACGCAAGUAUGAAACUUAAAGGAAUUGGCGGGGGAGCACCACAAGGGGUGAAGCCUGCGGUUCAAUUGGAGUCAACGCCAGAAAUCUUACCCGGAGAGACAGCAGAAUGAAGGUCAAGCUGAAGACUUUACCGGACAAGCUGAGAGGUGGUGCAUGGCCGUCGCCAGCUCGUGCCGUGAGAUGUCCUGUUAAGUCAGGUAACGAGCGAGAUCCCUGC
Molecule: ribosomal RNA, 471 nt
Filed under: uncultured archaeon
Lineage: Archaea
Description: bacterial SSU rRNA
Rfam family: Archaeal small subunit ribosomal RNA
Source: RNAcentral